Small RNA from Yersinia pestis CO92, 118 nucleotides. It matches the Rfam family "Fumarate/nitrate reductase regulator sRNA". The record is from Rfam. NCBI's taxonomy places the organism in Bacteria, Pseudomonadati, Pseudomonadota, Gammaproteobacteria, Enterobacterales, Yersiniaceae.
GCAGGUGAAUGCAACGUCAAGCGAUGGGCGUUGCGCUCCAUAUUUGUUAUACUUUUAUUUUGAAUUACUGCAUAGCAUUUAAUUGUUACGGUGCCGAUGUUGAAAAACAUCGGCAUUU